RNAcentral lists this unclassified non-coding RNA (380 nucleotides) under soil metagenome. Its description in RNAcentral is "partial contains 5.8S ribosomal RNA, internal transcribed spacer 2, and large subunit ribosomal RNA". The stretch from base 1 to 120 matches the Rfam family "5.8S ribosomal RNA", at positions 35 to 154 of the family's 154-position model. The record is from RNAcentral.
GAUGAAGAACGUAGCGAAAUGCGAUAAGUAAUGUGAAUUGCAGAAUUCAGUGGAUCAUCGAAUCUUUGAACGCACCUUGCACCCUUUGGCAUUCUGAAGGGUAUGCUCGUUUGAGUGUCAUUGUACUCUCACACUCCCGAUCUUUGCAUUGGGAGCAGUGGACUUGGGUUUGCUGCUUCACCGUCGCUUACCUCAAAUAGGUUAGUGCAACUCUUGGUUGGACAUAGUACGGCGUGAUAAGUGUUCUUCGCCGGUGCCUCGCAAAGAGGGUGGCCGAUCGGGAUGUUGUGCUCCAAACCGUCUUCGGACAAUCUCUGACGACUUGACCUCAAAUCGAGUAAGACUACCCGCUGAACUUAAGCAUAUCAAUAAGCGGAGGA